Molecule: transfer RNA, 64 nt
Filed under: Lumbriculus variegatus
Lineage: Eukaryota; Metazoa; Annelida; Clitellata; Lumbriculida; Lumbriculidae
Description: tRNA-Tyr
Source: RNAcentral
GACAAGAUGUCUGAACUAAAGAAAUAGUCUGUAAAACUAACCAUGGAAUUUCCUCCUCUUGUCA